Molecule: long non-coding RNA, 1178 nt
Organism: Ochlerotatus camptorhynchus
Lineage: Eukaryota; Metazoa; Arthropoda; Insecta; Diptera; Culicidae
Exons: 3
Source: RefSeq, a predicted model, not a curated record
GUGGGAUUUUUCUGAGGCAUAAAAAUCUCUGAUCACGUCUUCCUUCGGAAGGGAAGUAAAGCCGUUGGUCCCGGCCCAUGUGUUUGAUGGUUCGAUAUGUAGGGUCCAGGUGUGGGUGCUGCCUCCCUGGCGUCGGUAGCAUUGGUGCUCAGCACGGAAAAAAAAGAUCGACGGAAAAUAAAUCAAGGAAAAAAAAUACAACAAAAACUGGUUUUUGAGAACCUGAGGCAAGGGGAAAGACAGCUUUUGAUCAUGAGUAAAAUCGGAGGUAAUGUUGAGUAACUCUGAGUAACUCGCGUUGAUCAACAUCAAAUACACAUAGCAACCUGAUUUUUGUGUCGAAAUCUGUCAUCAUCAGUGGGGGCUGCAACCGAUUGACAUAUUUUUCCACAAUAAUUUCAUAAACAACUGAAAACAGGUGCCGAAGUUCUUACGAAUGAGAUACUUGUGAUGCUGGACUUGCUGGAUUGUAUAAUUCUAUCCUGGAUAUCGGUGUUACAGAAUGCGAGAUGACCACCAGGCCUGAGUUAACGGAUACCAUCAUCGGGUGGAUCUAUUUGCAGAAACAAAUGAAGCUGUUUUAAGAUUGUGGCUUGUGCCACCGUUUAUUUCUGCUUCUCCCAGUAUCUAGCACUUUGCUGAAUUUUCAUGAGCAGCUUGAGAAUGGCGUCCACCAAGAAAGAUCACCAGCUGACGAAAAUGACAUUUCCCGGAGCUAUUGUUCAAGCGAACAGGGAAUGUUUUAGCACUGAGCUCUCCUUGAAUUCCCUUGGAAUUAUGGUUCAAAUAUCGUUUGUAUCCUACUUCUUCUAGCACAUGGUUACUCUUUCUUCCAAUCUCCAUUUGACGACUUCUCACCAACCCAUCCUUGAUGGCGUCGCAGGUCUCGUUCUGCCGAUGCUCGCGACUAGUUUCGGAACCGCAUACCGCUCAACUGAUCAUUUCUGCGAUAAAUUAAAAUUCCUUCCCAGUUAUCCCUUUCUAGAUAUAAGGAACUGUUUCGCCGCAUACGUCUUUCUGUCGUAUCAAUGGUGGUAACCAGCUCUUUGAUAUAAAAUUUUGGUAGAUAUCGUAAGGCUUCUACGCACUGUUUCUGCACCCAGACAGAAACUAAUACCACAAACGAAGUGACAGCCGACUAACUGGCGAAGAAAUAAAUUAAAAUAAUGUGGUUCGCU